AAUACUAUAGUUUAAGGGAUCAUUUCUCUAAGGUAUAAAUAGAAGUGUAGUUGAAAGUGGUUUGUCUUGCUACCCAUUAGGGAGAAUUCUUUCCUGUGCUUGAAGUAAACAGUUAGUACUGUUUUAAUGCCGUUGUACAUUAUUGAUCAUCAUUCCUUCUCUUUGGGGAAUGGGGGAGAGAACAGAUAUUUACUGGC
Molecule: small nucleolar RNA, 197 nt
Filed under: Pelodiscus sinensis (Chinese soft-shelled turtle)
Lineage: Eukaryota; Metazoa; Chordata; Testudines; Trionychidae
Description: Small nucleolar RNA U3
Rfam family: Small nucleolar RNA U3
About the family: Small nucleolar RNAs (snoRNAs) are involved in the processing and modification of rRNA in the nucleolus. There are two main classes of snoRNAs: the box C/D class, and the box H/ACA class.
Source: Rfam by way of RNAcentral